CGCGGGGUGGAGCAGUUUGGUAGCUCGUCGGGCUCAUAACCCGAAGGUCGUUGGUUCAAAUCCAGCUCCCGCAACCA
RNAcentral lists this transfer RNA (77 nucleotides) under Plesiomonas shigelloides. RNAcentral describes it as "tRNA-Met". It matches the Rfam family "tRNA". Rfam says of the family: Transfer RNA (tRNA) molecules are approximately 80 nucleotides in length. Their secondary structure includes four short double-helical elements and three loops (D, anti-codon, and T loops). The record is from RNAcentral. RNAcentral also lists the same sequence under 2 other names. Lineage: Bacteria; Pseudomonadati; Pseudomonadota; Gammaproteobacteria; Enterobacterales; Enterobacteriaceae.